RNAcentral lists this ribosomal RNA (504 nucleotides) under uncultured bacterium. RNAcentral's name for it is "partial 16S ribosomal RNA". It matches the Rfam family "Bacterial small subunit ribosomal RNA", at positions 29 to 523 of the family's 1533-position model. The record is from RNAcentral.
AUUGAACGCUGGCGGCAGGCCUAACACAUGCAAGUCGGACGGUAGCACAGAGAGCUUGCUCUUGGGUGACGAGUGGCGGACGGGUGAGUAAUGUCUGGGGAUCUGCCCGAUAGAGGGGGAUAACCACUGGAAACGGUGGCUAAUACCGCAUAACGUCGCAAGACCAAAGAGGGGGACCUUCGGGCCUCUCACUAUCGGAUGAACCCAGAUGGACUUAGCUAGUAGGCGGGGUAAUGGCCCACCUAGGCGACGAUCCCUAGCUGGUCUGAGAGGAUGACCGGCCACACUGGGACUGAGACACGGUCCAGACUCCUACGGGAGGCAGCAGUGGGGAAUAUUGCACAAUGGGCGCAAGCCUGAUGCAGCCAUGCCGCGUGUAUGAAGAAGGCCUUCGGGUUGUAAAGUACUUUCAGCGGGGAGGAAGGCGGUGAGGUUAAUAACCUUGCCGAUUGACGUUACCCGCAGAAGAAGCACCGGCUAACUCCGUGCCAGCCGCCGCAGUAA